GAGAAUGAUCUAAUGGGAGGGUUUUGGUCGUGCAUGGCAAGCAGGAGGUGUCUCUGCCUCCCAAACCAACCAAUAGGAGACAGCUUGGUGUCUUAGCCACAAUUUUGGCCAAUAAAACCAAGCUUUGUGGCCAGCCACCAAAGCAUCCAAUUGAAAUGAGACAAGAACUGCUUAGAUGUGGUCUAGUCAAGGAGAAGCACAUGUCCAGCUGCUUGAAGGAGGUAAGUAAGAAGCUGCAUCAUCCCGAAGCUUCCAAACACGCUUAACACAUCGUUAAUGGGCCCGAACGGCAAUAUUUAAAUCCCAAACGUGUUAUAAGCUGAUCCAAGCUGGCGAGAAUGUUUCUCCUUGACAAAAAGCUAGAUUUCUUAGACCAAAACAUUUUUAAAAAAAAUUAUAAGGUCAUUCCUAUCUUAAGGCCCUAUAAUAAAUUAUCAAUUAAUUUUCUGGUCCGACUAGGACGUUUUAGGCCGAACCGCGAGCAUUUUCAAUGCACUAAAUUUUCUGAAGAAUUUAAUUUUUCAGAUGGAAAACUAUUCUAAGACUUUCUAAUUUUUCUUAUGUAUCUUGGGAUCCACAACCAUCCACGGGAAAAGAUCAAUCCGGCUUCCACUUACUUGAGUAAUUUUCUCGCCAGUUACAUGAUGUUUCCUUGUCUGCGUUUUACUCUUUAAAGAGGGUUAUUACAGUCCAUCACCCUUUUAGCACAAUGCAACUAAGUUUCUACUAUUGCUUGAAAUAUCAAUUAUCCCAAUGGAUAGUAAACCCAACAAAACAACCAUUAUUCGCUUUUCUUGAGACCAAUUUAUGCAUUUUUGAAAAAUGGCAUGCAAUUCUUUCAAUUUAGGUCCUUCUGAAAUUGGAACAUUCAUCUCUAGCCAAAAUAUUUCUUGAUCCAUAUCCCAAACAUCUUGCUUGUCGAAAGCGUCACAAUUCAGUCAUGUAAUCUCCAAACUCAUACAAAGAGAACCGUAUUGGCAUAAUCAUACAAACUCAUACAAUGCAGUCCUAUCAAUGACCAAAUCUCAUGACUGCUCUCAAUUGAUUCCCAAUUGAUUGGCAAGAAAAUAGUGCACUGCUUUUGCUGACCAAAUAUAAUCCAACUAUUUCAGCUUCACAAUCACUCUAAUAGUUGAUUCCCUCAUCUCAGACCAAACCUCUUCCCCAGCAGUUUCUUCCACCAUUUGAUGGUUCAUGCUCCUAUUCUGAAUUGGAGUUUUUCCAACCUCAUACAGACAAUGAGGAUACUUUCUCAAACCCGAAGAAGAAGCCAUACCUGAAAAAUAAAGCACAAUCGGCAACACUCAGUUUCAGUUACAUAAGAUAACUUAUUUUUGUUUAUACCAUUUCACAAGUUACUUUCGUUUCUACAAAGUAAACAUACUUAGUAAAAGCGUAACCAGAGUUAUGGGGAAAAGCAGAACCAAACUUGUACUUAAACUCGACUUUAAUGUCCAAGGUGCUAAAGGAAUUAGGAAUUAAAGUUUACAAACUUAAACAUUCAGUAAAAAAAUAAUCAAACAAUAAAUCAUAACCAAACUUACGAAAAUAAUAAUCAAAGAAUGAUGAAACUGGGGAUUAGGGUUUUCGAAAUUUAAUAUUCAAUCAAACAAUAUAUAUAAUAUAUAUAUAUAUAUAUAUAUGUUAAACGUGUAAGAACAAAUUGGAUUUGCAUCAAUUUAGCCCUUACAGUUUCAAUUCUCGUCGAUUUAAGUAUGAACCCAAAUCAAAGCUAGGGUUUUCGCGUACGACAUGGACGAUGGCGACUUGAGGAGGACAUGAUGAAAUGGAAGGCGGCUGUGACGGAUGAGAUGUUAUCGAAUAUGAAUAAUGAAGAAGACUCUCGAGAAUAGAUGACUCUGACUUCGGUUUCGUCGAAGUUGUAAGAGAAGAAAACCCGACAAACAAGGCUUCCCUUUUUCUAAUUAUUCCCUUUUAUGAUAUUAAGAUUUUUUUUAAUUAAUUUUAGUGGCAAACUUGUGGUUAAUCAAGUAAAGGAUGGGGUUUAGUAAAAUUGCUUGUUUCAGGUUUUAAUCUAGUAAUUAAAAUUUAAUAUGAGUUAGUCUAGUGAUUCUUAGAAUUCUUAGAGUCACUUUAAGUAAUUUCUUUAUUUUUCACAACAUCUUUUCUUUUUCAUUUUUAGCACUCCACAUCAUCUUCUCUUUCUUUCAUAUAAUAAUUAAACAUACACUUAAAUUUAUAGACUACAAAGGUAUUGUUUCGAGAAAUUUAAUAUCUCUUAUUUUUUUAUUUCAAAAAAAAUAUUUUUUGUUUUUUUUGUAAUUACGUAAUAAUAGUAAAAUAUAUUAAAAAAAUAAAAAAUUAUCAAUUUAAAUAAAAAAAUUAUAAUUGAAAUUGAAAUUUAUGAUAUAUUUAUAAAAGUAUUUACAGAUAAAAACAAAAAAAAUUAUUGAACAUUAUUUAAAAAAUUAUAAUAAAAGAAUUUUUUUGUGUAUGCAUCCAAAUCAUAAGAUAUUAGUCUCUGUUGUUUGAACACAAAAUAAUGAUUUUAUGUAAAAUAAGAAAAAAUAGGUAAUAUGCUGUAAGUAAAUUAUAUAAAAUAAUUAAGGUGAAUAAUAAUCCCAUUAAUAUCAACAAUAAUAACCAAACUAGGUAAUAAUCUGCGCCUUGCGCAAAAUGUGAUUAUUAGUUUCAUUAUUUUUUAAUAAGGAGACAUUAAUCUGUUUAAUCUGGAUAUAUGUUCGGUUUUAGAUUGUUUUUUGGUUUUUAAUCUCCUAAAAUAUAACUAUCAUUUUAAAUCAAUAUUUAUUUGGUUUGUUUGAUUAAAAUAUUUGAUGUUUUUGGUUUUUUUUCCUGUGAUAAUCAGAAAUUAAUAUUAUUUGUUUGUUUUCAUGUUAUGAAUCUUAGAUAGUCGUUAUGUCGAACCAAUGGUUUCAUAUUAUAGUUUCUAAACGGAUAAUGGUUAAAAAAAGAAUAGAAAAUAAUUAAGACAAAUCAUUUUACUACAAUUUGGUCGAUAGUGAAAGAAGCAUUAAAAUAAGAAUAUUUUAGCUUCCAAAAAAUUAGAUAUUUCAGUUGUGGUAAAUACUUAGUUAUAAGGUGCUCACAUCAAUGUACACAUGUAUGGGUAUAUAAAGUAUAUAAAGAUAAUUGAUAAAUAUAUAAAGAUAUUGUUAAUUAAUAUAAAAUUACAAAAAAAUUCAAAAUAAUGCAUGAAGAAUAAAAUUCUUAAAAUGAAAUUAUUUAAAAACAAAAAUAUUGUAAAAUUUAUAUAAACUAUAAUAUAUAACUUAUAUAUAAUUCUUUAAAUAUAUGUGUAUAUAUAUGCAUUUAACAGAUAAAAUUGGAUAUUCAUUUCUAUAAAUAUUGAUAUUUGUAAUUUGCUUUUUUUUACGGAUAUUGCAUUUUAGUAUUUGAUUUGCUUCGUAGAAUAACACAUAUCUGGAUUUUUCGGUUCGAAUCAAAACGUAUAACGAAUCGAAUCAAAAUUUAUUAAUAAUUUGUCCAGCUCUAUUCGUAAACAGUAAAAAAAUGUCAAAAAGAACUAUGCAUGUAACACCCCCGAUCCAUAAUAAAUAAAAGUUAAUUAGUUUGCCAUGCACCAAUCAAAUAAGAACAUGCACGACGAACUAAACAACACUAACCAGAUCGAAGAUACUACUACCACGUACCCAAACAUUUGAUCCAAGGUUCCCGGAUCAUACCCGAAAUCCUAAGAUCAUAUGUCCAAGAACGGGUUUCCUAGCGAUUCCAAGUUAAGGCUUUGCAACCCGAGUUUGAAACCGUUAGUUAGUUCGUCCCGGACUAGGACUAGUAUCAUAUGGAAUCCAAGCAUUUCACAAACCCUUUUUUUUAUUCAUAUAUACUUUAAGUUCAACCACAUCAAAAUUUAUACAUGUUCGACCGAAGUUCAAAACCAUAUCUUACAUAUUACAAAACGUACAUGUUUGCAAAAGGUAGCAAAUCUACACCAACAGCUUUGUGCUCCUCCGAUCCCAAAUGGAACCUACUACUAUGGGUUACCUGCAAAACAAAGAAUCUAAUGAGCAACUAUUUUGCUCAGUGAGUCGGGUUUCUUGACAAUUAUUUAUCCCCCCAUUAUGCAUCAAACAUUAAGCAACAAGGAUCAAUUAUAUUAAGAAAUAUGCAAUGCAAAAAUAAAGUAAUCAUGUAAACAAGCAUCCACUCUUCACGAGUGGUUAGAUCAUUAUCGAUCAUCGAGGACUGCCUCUCGCCAUUGGUUCCUAUCUCGAUACGAAGUCCAUAACACAUCCCUUCUUGCGCCUAUUGACUCUAAACACAAAGUCUAAAAAACCGAUGGCCCGGAUAACACACUUGCCGAAUCGUCAUGCAGCUACACGGUCGAGGGUAGCUAGCCCUAUCACACGUGUCUUCACGUCCUGCCCGGAACUAAUUUUGGUAAGACCCCAGACAAGGCACGGGCCUCGAGUGGACACCAAUGACUCUCACGACACUCCACCCGAGUGUCGGACUCUCACGGAUCAAGUCCGUGGAUUUACGGGUUUCCCCGUUAAGAUAUGAUCAAACAUGUUAUAUUGUCUGAGCCGAGGCCCAAACAAUAUAAUGCAAUGACAUAAGUAUAUGCAACACAACAUCAAUGUAUCACAAUCAUGUUAUACCCCUCGAGCCGAAGCCCGACGAUAUAACUCAAUAUCUUUCACAAACAUCAAUCAUUAUCAUAUCAUUAUAUAUCUAAACGCGCAACCUAGCAAUGCAUCAACCAAUACUCUUGUUAUGCAGGCGCUAGUCGCACACACAACAAUCAUAACCCAUAACCGAGACUCACCUCAACACUUAGAUAAAAGUUUUGGACUGGAAACGCUUCUAUCUCGCGGGCGGUUUCACUUUAUACUUUUAUAGGAAAACUCAAGAGCUUUAGAAAUCUAAAUACAGGAAGGGUAGGGUAAGAAAGGCUAUCCAAGUUCUAACUAAGGAAAAAAAAAACAAAAUCUAAAUAAAAAGAAAGCUAAAGACAAAAAACAUUUUACCUUAGGGUUUCGACUUUUUCGAGCUGCUAUGGUUAGGGUUCUAAGCAUGAGAAAUGACUAAGGGGGUGGUCUGCUAUUUAUAGGCUGGAGAAUGAGUUCAGGAGAAGGUAUAGGUCGUGGGUUACAAGCAGAAGCUGUCCUGGGUGCCCCAUGCAACCAAUUGGAGAGAGAUUGGUGUGCAGCCACAAAUCUGUCCAAUUAAAACAAGUUUUGUGGCCAGCUACCAAUUCAACCAAUAGGACAUAAGCAAGAGCUGCUUGGAGGAUUCUCCAGUAAAGGAGUAACACAUGUCUAGCUGCUUAAAGAGGUAGACAAGCAGCUGCAUACUCCAGAAGCUUCCAGAUAUGCUUAACACAUGGUAGAUGGGCCCGAAUGGGCCGUAUUUAAAUCCCGAACGUGUUAUAAG
This 5376-nucleotide long non-coding RNA is filed under the name Brassica rapa (field mustard). RNAcentral's name for it is "long non-coding RNA (BRAP_LNC003548)". Lineage: Eukaryota; Viridiplantae; Streptophyta; Magnoliopsida; Brassicales; Brassicaceae. The record is from RNAcentral.